ACGGGAGGCAGCAGUGGGGAAUAUUGGGCAAUGGGCGAAAGCCUGACCCAGCAACGCCGCGUGAAGGAAGAAGAUCUUCGGAUUGUAAACUUCUUUUAUGAGGGACGAAGGACGUGACGGUACCUCAUGAAUAAGCCACGGCUAACUACGUGCCAGCAGCCGCGGUAAUACGUAGGUGGCGAGCGUUAUCCGGAUUUACUGGGUGUAAAGGGCGCGUAGGCGGGGUGACAAGUCAGAUGUGAAAUCUAUGGGCUCAACUCAUAAACUGCAUUUGAAACUGCCACUCUUGAGUGCUGGAGAGGUAGACGGAAUUCCUUGUGUAGCGGUGAAAUGCGUAGAUAUAAGGAAGAACACCAGUGGCGAAGGCGGUCUACUGGACAGUAACUGACGCUGAGGCGCGAAAGCGUGGGGAGCAAACAGGAUUAGAUACCCUGGUA
The sequence is a ribosomal RNA, 437 nucleotides long. It matches the Rfam family "Bacterial small subunit ribosomal RNA", at positions 341 to 792 of the family's 1533-position model.